AAAUUUGCUCAAUGUCGCAUGCUAGGUUAUGUUGUUACUCUGCGUUCGUCGUGUGUCUGAAUAAUAAUACUAAUAUAAAAAAGAAGAUGUGAUCUAAUUGCCAAUGAGACAACUCUCCUCAAGAACCCAAAUGACCGUGACAGAAAUUAAAAAAACUAUUGGUCACCACACGGUCUUAAAUAAUGAACAAAGCCCAUUCCGCAAAGUCAGCUUAAAAAGGUCCUGAAAUGUCAAAUGUAAAACAAUUCAAACGAGAAAACUAACGGCCCUAUUCAUGUACAAAAAUUAAUGAAAAAAAUAUGUAACACUUCGACAAGCGACAACCAUUGAAUGACAAGCUUGGUACAGGCAGAUACAUAAUUUGGCCCGGGUUAAACAUGUUAGCAGGAUCCCAACCCUCCCCUAACCUGGGACAGUGGUGUAACAUUACAACAUAGGGAACGAACUAUGAAAAUCAGUUGAAAGAGGCUUAACUCAUCCGAUGGAUACAAUCAGAAAUACUACACAGAGUGGACAUGGCUGGGUACCUGUAUAUCCCAUACAACAACAAAAAUAAAUACCAACUUAGUACAGAAGACACGUUUGAAAAAAAAGAAAAGAAAAACAAACUUAAUAUAGAUUUCAAAAAUACAUACUCGCUAUGAUAAGAAAAAAAAUUGUAAGGUCUCGCCCACUUUUUAUAUCAAUGGCAGGCGCAACAAAAAUGAGCAAAAAAAUCAAUAAAAUAUUCCUCUCGAUACUAUCUUUUGAUUGCAAGAAGCUUCUGUCCAAGUUUGGUAAAAAUCUAGGAUAGUUUAAGAAAGUUAUGAGAAUUUAAAAAAAAUUAACCACUGAGUGAAUGUAAGUCCAUUUAUAAGUAAAAUACGGAAAAAGUGUAACAAAUUUACUUAUGGAUACUAUCUUAAUAUCAUAAAUAAGCUUCUGUCCAUGUUUGGUAGAAAUCCAUGACAGUUUAAGAAAGUAAUUAAAAUUUUAAAAACUUUAACCACAGAGCAAUGUCAUGUUUCCCGGCAGAA
This 1016-nucleotide long non-coding RNA is filed under the name Mytilus galloprovincialis (Mediterranean mussel). The record is from RNAcentral. Lineage: Eukaryota; Metazoa; Mollusca; Bivalvia; Mytilida; Mytilidae.